RNAcentral lists this transfer RNA (69 nucleotides) under Candidatus Uhrbacteria bacterium. RNAcentral describes it as "tRNA-OTHER". The record is from RNAcentral. Lineage: Bacteria; Candidatus Uhriibacteriota.
GGGCCGGGAGCUGGUGCUCAGGGAUGGCCAGUCACCCAUCCCUCGGGGGUUCGAUUCCCCUCCGGUCCA